UGGGGAAUUUUGGACAAUGGGGGAAACCCUGAUCCAGCCAUCCCGCGUGUGCGAUGAAGGCCUUCGGGUUGUAAAGCACUUUUGGCAGGAAAGAAACGUCGCGGGUUAAUACCCCGCGAAACUGACGGUACCUGCAGAAUAAGCACCGGCCUAACUACGUGCCAGCAGCCGCGGUAAUACGUAGGGUGCAAGCGUUAAUCGGAAUUACUGGGCGUAAAGCGUGCGCAGGCGGUUCGGAAAGAAAGAUGUGAAAUCCCAGAGCUUAACUUUGGAACUGCAUUUUUAACUACCGGGCUAGAGUGUGUCAGAGGGAGGUGGAAUUCCGCGUGUAGCAGUGAAAUGCGUAGAUAUGCGGAGGAACACCGAUGGCGAAGGCAGCCUCCUGGGAUAACACUGACGCUCAUGCACGAAAGCGUGGGGAGCAAACAGGAUUAGAUACCCUGGUAGUCCACGCCCUAAACGAUGUCAACUAGCUGUUGGGGCCUUCGGGCCUUGGUAGCGCAGCUAACGCGUAAGUUGACCGCCUGGGGAGUNCGGUCGCAAGAUUAAAACUCAAAUGAAUGAC
Molecule: ribosomal RNA, 565 nt
Filed under: uncultured bacterium
Lineage: Bacteria
Description: partial 16S ribosomal RNA
Rfam family: Bacterial small subunit ribosomal RNA
Source: RNAcentral